This 396-nucleotide ribosomal RNA is filed under the name uncultured bacterium. RNAcentral describes it as "bacterial SSU rRNA". It matches the Rfam family "Bacterial small subunit ribosomal RNA", at positions 32 to 409 of the family's 1533-position model. The record is from RNAcentral.
AAUCAACGCUGGCGGCGUGCCUCAGACAUGCAAGUCGAACGCGAAAGUUUCCUUCGGGGAACAAGUAGAGUGGCGCACGGGUGAGUAACACGUAGGUAAUCUACCUUUGGAUGGGGAAUAACAACCGGAAACGGUUGCUAAUACCGCAUAAUGCAGCGGCACCUAAUGGUGACAGUUGUUAAAGCGGGGGAUCGAAAGACCUCGCGUCUGAAGAGGAGCCUGCGGCGGAUUAGCAGUUGGUAAGGUAAUGGCUUACCAAGGCGACGAUCCGUAACCGGCCUGAGAGGGCGGUCGGUCACACUGACACUGACAUACGGGUCAGACUCCUACGGGAGGCAGCAGUCGGGAAUUUGGGCAAUGGGCGAAAGCCUGACCCAGCAACGCCGCGUGAAGGAU